CAUGGAGAAGCAGCAACACCGUCUGUGGAUCAGUUCGUUUUGCAGCCUAGGUGUAUAGCAGGCUGUAUUUCACGCCCAAACGCAGGUGAAGGAAUGUCGCUCCCGUGAAAAGGUCAAUAUGUCUACUAAAGGACAUCUACAGACCACCAUCACCCUGCUGCACGACACCCUGAGACCCUCCUCAGACACCUGGCCAAUCGCUGGCUCUGAACAGAGUUGCCAUGGACACUGAGUCUAUCCAGUCUGGCUACUCCAGCCACUCCAACAGAUCUAACAG
Salvelinus namaycush (lake trout) is the source of this 277-nucleotide long non-coding RNA. RefSeq lists it as uncharacterized. NCBI's taxonomy places the organism in Eukaryota, Metazoa, Chordata, Actinopteri, Salmoniformes, Salmonidae. The record is from RefSeq and is a predicted model, not a curated record. The transcript is spliced from 3 exons.